RNAcentral lists this ribosomal RNA (506 nucleotides) under uncultured Capnocytophaga sp. Its description in RNAcentral is "bacterial SSU rRNA". It matches the Rfam family "Bacterial small subunit ribosomal RNA", at positions 1 to 507 of the family's 1533-position model. The record is from RNAcentral. Lineage: Bacteria; Pseudomonadati; Bacteroidota; Flavobacteriia; Flavobacteriales; Flavobacteriaceae.
CGUUCAGAGAGUUUGUAUCCUCGGGCUCAACGGAUGAACGCGUAGCGGCAGCUACACAUGCAGUCGAGGAGAAGCCCUUCGGGCAGAAACCGGCGCACGGGUGCGUAACGCGUAUGCAACCGUACCUUUCACAGGGGGAUAGCCCGAAGAAAUUUAGGAUUAAUACCCCAUAAUAUUAUUGGAUGGCAUCAUUUGAUAAUUAAAAUUACGAUGGUGAAAGAUGGGCAUGCGUCCUAUUAGCUAGUUGGAGUGGUAACGGCACUCCAAGGCUACGAUAGGUAGGGGUCCUGAGAGGGAGAUCCCCCACACUGGUACUGAGACAGGGACCAGACUCCUACGGGAGGCAGCAGUGAGGAAUAUUGGUCAAUGGUCGAAAGACUGAACCAGCCAUGCCGCGUGCAGGAAGAAUGCCUUAUGGGUUGUAAACUGCUUUUAUAUGGGAAGAAUAAGGAGUACGUGUACUUUUGAUGACGGUACCAUAUGAAUAAGCAUCGGCUAACUCCGUG